Molecule: ribosomal RNA, 301 nt
Filed under: uncultured bacterium
Lineage: Bacteria
Description: partial 16S ribosomal RNA
Rfam family: Bacterial small subunit ribosomal RNA
Source: RNAcentral
CAGUAGCCGCGGUAAUACAGAGGGUGCGAGCGUUAAUCGGAUUUACUGGGCGUAAAGCGUGCGUAGGCGGCUUCUUAAGUCGGAUGUGAAAUCCCUGAGCUUAACUUAGGAAUUGCAUUCGAUACUGGGAAGCUAGAGUAUGGGAGAGGAUGGUAGAAUUCCAGGUGUAGCGGUGAAAUGCGUAGAGAUAUGGAGGAAUACCGAUGGCGAAGGCAGCCAUCUGGCCUAAUACUGACGCUGAGGUACGAAAGCAUGGGGAGCAAACAGGAUUAGAUACCCGCGUAGUCCCUGUCUCUUAUAC